GAUGAACGCUGGCGGCGUGCCUAAUACAUGCAAGUCGAGCGAACAGAUGAGGAGCUUGCUCCUCUGACGUUAGCGGCGGACGGGUGAGUAACACGUGGAUAACCUACCUAUAAGACUGGUAUAACUUCGGGAAACCGGAGCUAAUACCGGAUAAUAUAUUGAACCGCAUGGUUCAAUAGUGAAAGACGGUUUUGCUGUCACUUAUAGAUGGAACCGCGCCGCAUUAGCUAGUUGGUAAGGUAACGGCUUACCAAGGCAACGAUGCGUAGCCGACCUGAGAGGGUGAUCGGCCACACUGGAACUGAGACACGGUCCAGACUCCUACGGGAGGCAGCAGUAGGGAAUCUUCCGCAAUGGGCGAAAGCUUGACGGAGCAACGCCGCGUGAGUGAUGAAGGUCUUCGGAUCGUAAAACUCUGUUAUUAGGGAAGAACAAAUGUGUAAGUAACUAUGCACGUCUUGACGGUACCUAAUCAGAAAGCCACGGCUAACUACGUG
Molecule: ribosomal RNA, 497 nt
Filed under: uncultured bacterium
Lineage: Bacteria
Description: partial 16S ribosomal RNA
Rfam family: Bacterial small subunit ribosomal RNA
Source: RNAcentral